AGCGCUGUAGCAUAGUGGGUUAAUGCCCUGGCCUGAAGCGCCAGCAUCCCAUAUGGGCACUGGGUUCUAGUCCCGGUUGCUCCU
Molecule: transfer RNA, 84 nt
Organism: Oryctolagus cuniculus (rabbit)
Lineage: Eukaryota; Metazoa; Chordata; Mammalia; Lagomorpha; Leporidae
Rfam family: tRNA
About the family: Transfer RNA (tRNA) molecules are approximately 80 nucleotides in length. Their secondary structure includes four short double-helical elements and three loops (D, anti-codon, and T loops). Further hydrogen bonds mediate the characteristic L-shaped molecular structure. tRNAs have two regions of fundamental functional importance: the anti-codon, which is responsible for specific mRNA codon recognition, and the 3' end, to which the tRNAs corresponding amino acid is attached (by aminoacyl-tRNA synthetases). tRNAs cope with the degeneracy of the genetic code in two manners: having more than one tRNA (with a specific anti-codon) for a particular amino acid; and 'wobble' base-pairing, i.e. permitting non-standard base-pairing at the 3rd anti-codon position.
Source: Rfam